UUUGGAAGUCAGAAAACACCCAGAUUUGUCAAGGAAGAGACUCUUCCAAAUAUCUCUGGAACAUGCUUAGGCAAGAUUCCAGAGCACCAACCAUAACCAUUCUUCCUUGUUCCAAGGGUGCUGUUUCCUCAGCCAUAUUCCUUCCUGCUCAGGGAAGACCUUCAAAAAGGAUCACACAACUUCUUCACUGCUCAGCCAUGAGCUUGGUUUCCGUGCCAGUGCUGAUGAUACUUUUUGUCCUGAGGGGAACCGGAGCCCAGUCAGUGACCCAGCCUGACGUCCACAUCACUGUCUCUGAAGGAGCCCGUCUGGAGCUGAGUUGCAAGUAUUCGUCUUCUGUUCCACCAAAUCUCUUCUGGUACGUGCAAUAUCCCAACCGAGGACUCCAGCUUCUCCUGAAGUACACGUCUGGAAACAGCCUCGUUUCAGGCAUCAAAAGUUUUGAGGCUGAAUUUAAGAAGAGCGAAACCUCCUUCCACCUGAGGAAACCCUCAGCCGAUUGGAGUGACUCGGCCAAGUACUUCUGUGCUCUGAGUGACACAGUGCCUGGGACUGCAGGGGGAGCUGAACACAAACUUCUGGUGAAUGUGUGGCUUUCAGUGACUCAAGGAAUCAGCCUGGGGCAUUUUCAGUAA
This is a non-coding RNA of Diceros bicornis minor, 635 nucleotides long. The record is from the annotation of a RefSeq genome assembly. NCBI's taxonomy places the organism in Eukaryota, Metazoa, Chordata, Mammalia, Perissodactyla, Rhinocerotidae.